RNAcentral lists this transfer RNA (55 nucleotides) under Pedobacter terrae. RNAcentral describes it as "tRNA_Pro_GGG". Lineage: Bacteria; Pseudomonadati; Bacteroidota; Sphingobacteriia; Sphingobacteriales; Sphingobacteriaceae. The record is from RNAcentral.
GGAAUAACUCAGGGGUAGAGUAGCAACCAAAUAUGCAGGUUCGAAUCCUGCUUCC